CCCAAGGGCCCCCGUGCCGCCCGCGUGCUGCUCCAAGGUCGGAGGACUGAUCAAGGCGGCUCCAAAGUGCCUUUGCGCAGUUCUGUUGUCCCCGUUGGCGAAGCAGGCUGGAAUCCAGCCUGGGAUUGCGAUCACCAUCCCCAAACGCUGCAACAUCCGCAAUCGCCCCGCCGGAAAGAAGUGUGGAGGUAAUUAAUUAAAUAAGCAUAAUUUGAACUUCUCGUAAAUUCAUUAUCUGAUUAAGACGACAUUAAUUUAUGACGGAGAAAACAGAGUUUCUAAUUGUGUUGCUUGGAUUGCAGCUUUCACUCUCCCGUAAGUUGAAGAUCACAGUUACGUCGGGGUUGCUUGCUGGUAAUUGUAGGUGAAGAUCGGAGUGUGAAAUAAAGAAGAGUUUGCCAUCGUGAGGCAACGUUUUCUUGUUUUGGUUCCCUAGCUAAUUACUGAUUGUGUACGUUGAUUCCCUCUUAAACCAAUCUUUGUCGGUGUAUUGUAUCUACCACUUCACUAUAUCUAUCUAAAUAAUGACUUUGGUUAUGUGGUGUGAAUUUCUGGGAGUAUUAUCAUAUCAAAGUUGAAGCAAAGCAACUGGUCUCUUCAAUAUACCAAUUUAAUAUUUAAAAUUACCACAUCACUUACAUUUCGAUAUAUUUACAUAUAACCCUUAUCUUUGAAAUAUAUACUUCAGUGGCGAUUAAACCUACCGUGAGCGAUGGUUCACGGUAAGGUAACGACUACAGAAUAAAAGAACAUAAAAUUUAUUCAUUUAGCAUCUCUUCAUAAAAAAUUUAUACCUCCAUUGACGAUGGCGUUGCAGCGGAGCUUCUCCAGUAAGGUUGGGAGGAGGGCCGUGAAUGGAGUGGUCCCGCCGACAAAAGCAUUUAUUUGAUCCGUCUAUCUAGCGCGUGGCAGCUACGGGAGUCAUCGUUGUUCACUGAACUCUCUCAGCAAGUCAUCUAUGCCCUGUUUUGCUCUCGGCUCCAGCCACCGUGCCUCUGUUCACGGCGCAUCCGUCUUACUCUAGUAUAGGUAAGCUGCUUCUCUUUUGUGACCGCUCCUUUACGUUGAUUGCAGAUCGCAAAACCAAAAGAGUCAUGUCAAUUUGUAUAUAUGCUUCC
This 1118-nucleotide long non-coding RNA is filed under the name Linum usitatissimum (flax). Its description in RNAcentral is "long non-coding RNA (LUSI_LNC006088)". The record is from RNAcentral. Lineage: Eukaryota; Viridiplantae; Streptophyta; Magnoliopsida; Malpighiales; Linaceae.